This is a long non-coding RNA of Aedes albopictus (Asian tiger mosquito), 1489 nucleotides long. RefSeq lists it as uncharacterized. Lineage: Eukaryota; Metazoa; Arthropoda; Insecta; Diptera; Culicidae. The record is from RefSeq and is a predicted model, not a curated record. The transcript has 2 exons.
GUUGUUACUGAAUUUGUUCUCUGCAUCUGAUAGUAAAAGAGAAUUAAAGUGUCAAAUAUUCAAAAACAAAUCAAAAUUUUCAAUGUCUGUUGUCUGUGAUUUUUUUUUUAUCAAAUGCUGUGUCUGGUUGUCUAAGGUUGUUACUGAAUUUGUUCUCUGCAUCUGAUAGUAAAAGAGAAUUAAAGUGUCAAAUAUUCAAAAACAAAUCAAAAUUUUCAAUGUCUGUUGUCUGUGAUUUUUUUUAUCAAAUGCUGUGUCUGGUUGUCUAAGGUUGUCACUGGUUUUGUUCUCUACAUCUGAUAGUAAAAAAACAUUAAAGUGUCAAAUAUUAAAAAAAAAAUCAAAAUUUUCAACGUCUGUUGUCUGUGGUUUUUUCAUCAUAUGCUGUGUCUGGUUGUCUAAGGUUGUUACUGAAUUUGUUCUCUGCAUCUGAUAGUAAAAGAGAAUUAAAAUGUCAAAUAUUCAAAAACAUAUCAAAAUUUUCAAUGUCUGUUGUCUGUGAUUUUUUUUAUCAAAUGCUGUGGCUGGUUGUCUAAGGUUGUCACUGGUUUUGUUCUCUACAUCUGAUAGUGAAAAAAACAUUUAAAGUGUCAAAUAUUCAAAAAUAAAUCAAAAUUUUCAACGUCUGUUGUCUGUGGUUUUUUCAUCAAAUGCUGUGUCUGGUUGUCUAUGAUUGUCACCGGUUUUGUUCUCUGCAUCUGAUUAUCAAAAAUAAUUAAAGUGUCAAAUAUUUAUUUAAAAAAUAAACGAAACUAUCAACGUCUGUUGUCUGUGAUUUUUUUUUCAUCAAUUGCUGUGUCUGGUUGUCUAAGGUUGUCACUGGUUUUAUUUUCUACAUCUGAUAGUAUAAAAGAAUUGAAGUGUCAAAUAUUUUAAAAAAAUCAAAAUUUUCAACGUCUGUUGUCUGUGAUUUUUUCAUCAAAUGCUGUGUCUGGUUGUCUAAGGUUGUUACUGAAUUUGUUCUCUGCAUCUGAUAGUAAAAGAGAAUUAAAGUGUCAAAUAUUCAAAAACAAAUCAAAAUUUUCAAUGUCUGUUGUCUGUGAUUUUUUUUUUAUCAAAUGCUGUGUCUGGUUGUCUAAGGUUGUCACUGGUUUUGUUCUCUACAACUGAUAGUAAAAAAAACAUUUAAAGUGUCAAAUAUUCAAAAACAAAUCAAAAUUUUCAAUGUCUGUUGUCUGUGAUUUUUUUUUAUCAAAUGCUGUGUCUGGUUGUCUAAGGUUGUCACUGGUUUUGUUCUCUACAUCUGAUAGUAAAAAAAACAUUUAAAGUGUCAAAUAUUCAAAAAUAAAUCAAAAUUUUCAACGUCUGUUGUCUGUGGUUUUUUCAUCAAAUGCUGUGUCUGGUUGUCUAAGGUUGUUACUGAGUUUGUUCUCUGCAUCUGAUAGUAAAAAAAUAUAUUUUUUGGGAGAAUUUCCCUGCGUGCUGCGUCUGGUUGGCUAGUCACCGGACAGACAAACAGGGCUAUUAUUUAUAUAUAUAAAUAUAAAUA